AUUAGGCUUCCAGGGGAUACUGUUAGACUUUGGGGACCGGGAGAGGUAAGAGGUACUGCAGGGGUAGGAGUGAAAUCUUGUAAUCCCUGUGAGACCACCAGUGGCGAAGGCGUCUUACCAGAACGGGUCCGACGGUGAGGGACGAAAGCUGGGGGCACGAACCGGAUUAGAUACCCGGGUAGUCCCAGCUGUAAACGAUGCUCGUUAGGUGUCAGGAACGGUGCGACUGUUUCUGGUGCCGAAGGGAAGCCGUGAAACGAGCCACCUGGGAAGUACGGCCGCAAGGCUGAAACUUAAAGGAAUUGGCGGGGGAGCACUACAACGGGUGGAGCCUGCGGUUUAAUUGGACUCAACGCCGGAAAACUCACCGGGGGCGACAGCAAUAUGUAGGUCAGGUUAAAGGUCUUACCUGAAUCGCUGAGAGGAGGUGCAUGGCCGUCGUCAGUUCGUACUGUGAAGCAUCCUGUUAAGUCAGGCAACGAGCAAGACCCGUGCCCACUGUUACCAGCAUAUCCUUUAUGGAUGAUGGGGACUCUGUGGGGACCGCUGCUGCUAAAGCAGAGGAAGGUGCGGGCUACGGUAGGUCAGUAUGCCCCGAAUCUCCCGGGCUACACGCGGGCUACAAUGGUUGGGACAAUGGGUAUCUACUCCGAAAGGAGUUGGCAAUCUCUUAAACCCAAUCGUAGUUCGAAUUGAGGGCUGUAACUCGCCCUCAUGAAGCUGGAAUCCGUAGUAAUCGCGUUUCAACAUAGCGCGGU
RNAcentral lists this ribosomal RNA (758 nucleotides) under uncultured archaeon. Its description in RNAcentral is "bacterial SSU rRNA". It matches the Rfam family "Archaeal small subunit ribosomal RNA", at positions 565 to 1319 of the family's 1478-position model. The record is from RNAcentral.